UGUGCAUACUGUGGUUGCUAUGUAUUGUGUAUGUAAUUUUGGGGGUGAAUCAUUAAGAAAGAAAAAUGGAGGAGUUUUUGUAUUUCACUGUGUUUGUAGUGUGUAGAAGACCAUAGAAUGGAGAUCCCCCGACUAUUCGUUACUGUCCAUAGGAAGAUUUAAAGGGUAUAUCCCUUGGUGAUGCCUUUUCUGUGUAUCCCCAU
Molecule: long non-coding RNA, 203 nt
Filed under: Capsicum annuum
Lineage: Eukaryota; Viridiplantae; Streptophyta; Magnoliopsida; Solanales; Solanaceae
Description: long non-coding RNA (CANN_LNC007380)
Source: RNAcentral